CCUACGGGUGGCUGCAGUGGGGAAUAUUGCACAAUGGGGGAAACCCUGAUGCAGCGACGCCGCGUGAGUGAAGAAGUAAUUCGUUAUGUAAAGCUCUAUCAGUAGGGAAGUAAAUGACUGUACCUGAGUAAGAAGCUCCGGCUAACUACGUGCCAGCAGCCGCGGUAAUACGUAGGGGGCAAGCGUUAUCCGGAUUUACUGGGUGUAAAGGGAGCGUAGUCGGCAGUGCAAGUCAGGAGUGAAAGGCGGGGGCUCAACCCCCGGACUGCACUGGAAACUGUACGGCUGGAGUGCAGGAGAGGUGAGUGGAAUUCCUAGUGUAGCGGUGAAAUGCGUAGAUAUUAGGAAGAACACCGGUGACGAAGGCAGCUUACUGGACUGUAACUGACGUUGAGGCUCGAAAGUGUGGGGAGCAAACAGGAUUAGAUACCCGAGUAGUC
RNAcentral lists this ribosomal RNA (440 nucleotides) under uncultured bacterium. RNAcentral's name for it is "partial 16S ribosomal RNA". It matches the Rfam family "Bacterial small subunit ribosomal RNA", at positions 338 to 795 of the family's 1533-position model. The record is from RNAcentral.